UAUUUGAAGAAGUAAAAUCAGUAAGUGUGGUCUUACCGAAGAACAAAGUGAUGGGAAGAUUUUAUUACUAAUUUUUUUUAGUGUGUUGGGUUUGGUUGGGUUUAAAGGAAAAGGACCACUUUAUUGCAAGAGUAUAUGGACCCUAUAUUCUGGGACCUAAUGGUGACAGGAGUUCUUGUUCCAGAAUCAGGAACAACUAUCUCAUAAUUCCAAAGAACAAUUUCAACCUGGAAGUGGUUGUAUCUGGGGACCUGUUAGAGGAUUAAAACACUGUAUGGAGGUUAAGAGGCCAAGUAGUACACAGUUUAGAGGUGAAACAAGUGCAUAGAAAGAAUUAGAUAUUUGUUAAGAUUGUAGAUGCUGUUACUCUGAUACCCCUUUGCCACCACCAGGAGCACACAACUCUACACCUACGUGUCCUUGCAAGAAACAGAAGGAGAUUCCUUGGAAUGAAACCAAUGGGAGUCCAGGGUUUGGGAGAAUCUCAUCAGAGCAGAUGGGCCAGCAGCAGCCAGAAAGCUUGUUGCCUUUGGCUGAGAGCACUCUCCUGGAUCUGAACGUCUCGUAGGGAAGCUGAGGCCCAAGGACAGGAACGGACUUGCCAUGGACAUCCCAGGAGCCCAGAGGCAACUCGGACCAAGGUAAGUCCGUCCUUCUGAAUCUCUUAGAUCAACUCUGAAUCCAUACAGUAACCAUGCAGGCCCAUGCGCAGGGGCUCCUUAUCUGCACCCAGCAGGGGCGUGGCCAUCAGCAACAGGACCUCAGCAGGAGGAGGGUCACAGACUUGCCCAUUUCUGCCAAGCACCAGAGAGCUGCCACUGCCCUGCCUCCUGUCCUGCAGCCACAAACAUGAAGUCGCAGACCUUUUUUAUUCCCCCAUUAAUACUUAACAUACCAUUUACUCUGUGCCAGGCACCAAUUUUAGUGCUCUACAAAGAGUAAUUUAUAUAAUCCUCAUUGAAUGGGAGGCUAUAUUGAUUUUGAUAUCUUUCCUGAGAAAAGCAUAUCCCUGCCUGUGUUCUGGACCUGGUGCGUUUCUAUAAACAGGUCUUCUGAAACUUUUUUUCUGAUCCUCAGUUUCCUCUUUUGUAAAACAGGUUUGAGUCCCGGACCUGUCAGCACUGCCCCCUAAGGGCAGAAUGUAGAACCAAUGGGUGGAAUUACAGGGAGGCGGAUUGCAGCUCAGGGUAGGUAAGAACUUUCCAGCUGAGCUGAUCACAGGAGAAAUGGGCUGCCCUUAACAGUAGUGAGCUUCCUGUUGUCUGAAGCAAUCAAGCAGAAGCAAGCAGCCACAGGGCAGUACAGAGCUGCCUGGGCCCUGGGGCCACCUGCUUUGCUGGUUUUCAGAUUGUUCUACAGCAGCACUUUCCUCCCCACCUUCCUAGGGAGUCACAGAGGCGGAGCGCUGGGGAAGAGAAGGGGCUUCAUACGUGUUUAUUGAAUCAGUGAGUGGUGGGGACACCAGGGCCCAGCCUGAGGCUUCCAGGAACACAACAUGGAAAUCCCUGAUCUGUCCAGUUGUCUACUUGGACAGACGACAGAACCCCACAAGGAGAGUCGCCACUGCACUCUGCACACACAGCCCCACACCAAUGUUAACAGCACUGCCUGUACCUGCAAAGAACAUCUCUGUACGGGUUCCCACCACUGCCCUCAUGGAGGGAAUGGCAUGGAGGAAGGGGCUGGGGGGACAACUUGCCCCUAUUCUAUACUCCUGUUCCUAUUGAAUGUUUAGCGCAUGCAAGUAUUAUUUAUAUUUUUAAAAGUACAAAUAGAUUAAUUUUGUUAUUCAAAAGAAAGCCACUUAGGCUGAGAGCCGUAGUGCCCAGGGGCCUGGAACAGCAUCAGGGCCCAAAUGGAACCAUGGCAGAGCCUCCGCUAGGCCCAGCAGCAUCCCCUGGGCCACUUCUGUGACUAACAUGGUCCCAUCUUGGCCUCCCAGACCCCAGACAUAGACCUUCCCGCUGGAAGAGGUGCCAAAGCCAUUAGCAUGACAUUUUGCCGUUCCAGGAAGCCCAGGGUCGUCAGAGGACGCCAGUGCCAGGUCUGCUGCCCACCCUCUCUGGGGGUGCCCUCUGGAUCCCUGCAUCCUCUAGCUGCCCUGUCCUGGGGCAUCCCCAUUACUCACAUUGGGGCUCACCCUGUGGUCCAAGAAUAUGCCUGUGAUCCUAGGUGGGAAUCUAUGUGCUUUUGUGCCACACGGAGGAGAAGGUGGGGCUUUCCUAACUUGUCCAAAGGAGUCUUAAAGAGCCACUGACCCACAGGGGAAACCCAAACUCCUUCCCCUGGCACGGCAGGCCUGAGUCAGCCUCCACCCUCCCUGCCCACUCUCUUCAUCUCUUUCUGUCACUCAGCAGCCAGGUCACCUCUCCCUGGCCUAAUGCCCACGUGCUCAUUCUGUCCUUAGGGCCAUUUCCCAGGCUUUGUCCCCUCCUGACACACCUGCCCCAAUGCAUGAAGAUCCUGCCUAUCCUGCAGGACCCAUCAGGUGUCACCUCUUCCAGGGGGCCCUCUCUCCCAGUCCUGCCCUCCUUAGAAGUCGGGUCGAUUCACCACAUAUGACUUCUGCCUUGGCACCAGCUGCUACCCUGCACCUUGGCCUGUUCCUCAACGAGUGAGGGCACCCACUGGGGCUGCCUGGAGAAGCAGGAGACAGUGGUGCAACAUCCCCUGGGAUAAGCAGCUGCGUCUCUUGUUCUGAGUCUUCUGUCCUCUGGGGACACAAAGAGCCACAUCUCCGCCUCUGGCCCGGCUUUUCUCACGGACUUACUUGACUGGGCCCCGCCCCAGCCAGACAUGUUCCCUGCACUUGGGAAAGUGUAGAUAGAUUUUUCUAGAAUGGAAUUCUUUAGAAAAAUGUAAUGGUGAGGGGUACAACCCUGGGGUUCGGCAUCCAGGGUAUUGAUCAGAGACUCGACCUCAGAGUAGCCAGUGAUCUUUCUCAGUGGAGCAGGAAACAGUGUAGCGGAGGCUGCACUCCCAGCUGUGACGGGGACAGAGGAGGGGCGGGAGGAGAGGGAGCCCGAGCCAGGCAUGGACUCCAAGUCCCCCCUCACACCCAGCUUGCUCUCAGGAGCCCCCGCAUGGACACGCCCACGUACCCAGCAGCCCGGGGCCUCAAGGAAUAGGAGAGUGAAAGGACCAAAGGGCCAGGAACAGCGUGAAGGGCUCUGGGAUCCAUCCACAUCAGGAGAUGCUCCUGUGUCCUUCCCUGGCUCUGGCUUCCCUACGAGUAACAGGGGGGUCAUAACACCCGCCUGGCCACAUGGGCAGGAGAUCAAAGGAGGCACUGUGCUAACAACCUUUGCAACUGUGAAGCUCUGCCCACAGGGGAGAGAGAAAACCCCCGGUAUCCUCCCAUCGGCUCCCUGUGGAGGAGACUGGCCUGAGCCUUCCAGAGCCUCACCAAGCACAGCUCAAACAGCCCAUGGUCUGGAUGGAACUGAGGUCCAGCUCCCAAAGGUUGUGGAAGUCAGGAUGCAGAUGGGUAGGGGAGGGGGCUGGGGGACAGCUCCAUGGCUUCAAGCCUCUAGCAGCUCAAGAAACAUCUGGGUCCCUACCCCAUCUGCCCCACCAACCUUCUCAGGGUCCUCAUCACUGUCAUCAACUCACCGGGUCCUCAUGACACCUUUGUGAGCUCAGAGAGACAGAGAGACUUAUCCCAUUUUAUAGAUGAGGAAAUGGGCCCAGAGAGGGGCAGCUGGCUUUCCAUAGCCACACAGCACAUCCCAUCCUCCUACAUCAGGGAUCCUGACUCUCAGAAAACCAAGAGGGGGC
Molecule: non-coding RNA, 3777 nt
Organism: Microcebus murinus (gray mouse lemur)
Lineage: Eukaryota; Metazoa; Chordata; Mammalia; Primates; Cheirogaleidae
Source: RefSeq, a predicted model, not a curated record